RNAcentral lists this ribosomal RNA (506 nucleotides) under uncultured Glomeromycotina. RNAcentral's name for it is "partial small subunit ribosomal RNA". It matches the Rfam family "Eukaryotic small subunit ribosomal RNA", at positions 591 to 1092 of the family's 1831-position model. Lineage: Eukaryota; Fungi; Glomeromycota. The record is from RNAcentral.
CCAAUAGCGUAUAUUAAAGUUGUUGCAGUUAAAAAGCUCGUAGUUGAAUUUCGGGAUUGACGUGAUGGUCGUGCCUUACGGGGUAUGAACUGUUGCUGUUGAUUUCUCACCUUCUGGAGAAACUUGAUGUCCUUAAUUGGGUGUCUUGCGGAUCCAGGACCUUUACCUUGAAAAAAUUAGAGUGUUUAAAGCAGGCAUUUUGCUCGAAUACAUUAGCAUGGAAUAAUAGAAUAGGACGGCAUGGUUCUAUUUUGUUGGUUUCUAGGAUAACCGUAAUGAUUAAUAGGGAUAGUUGGGUGCAUUAGUAUUCAAUUGUCAGAGGUGAAAUUCUUGGAUUUAUUGAAGACUAACUACUGCGAAAGCAUUUGCCAAGGAUGUUUUCAUUAAUCAAGAACGAAAGUUAGGUGAUCGAAGACGAUCAGAUACCGUCGUAGUCUUAACCAUAAACUAUGCCGACUAGGAAUCAGACGAUGUUAAUUUUUUAAUGACUCGUUUGGCACCUUACG